Long non-coding RNA from Diabrotica virgifera virgifera (western corn rootworm), 447 nucleotides. RefSeq lists it as uncharacterized. The transcript is spliced from 2 exons. The record is from RefSeq and is a predicted model, not a curated record. Lineage: Eukaryota; Metazoa; Arthropoda; Insecta; Coleoptera; Chrysomelidae.
UGACCUAUAUUUUUGUUACACCCUGUAUAGAGGAGAAUUUUAAUUCUCGUCCAGUUUUCCUCCAUAGUUUUAUAUAUUUGACAUCUUUUUCUUACCAAUAGUAACUGUUUGCUUAUUCGUCCUUGUAACCCGUUUUAAUCUCAGUCUUAUGUUUCCUACCAAAACAUUGUUAUGUUAUGACUGACUGUACUGAAUUUAUAUAGCUUUUAUUAUACACAUGAAAUCUAUCUGGAUAUGAACCACUUCGAUCUCCAGGUGUAACGGUAACGAUUGACUUCUGUAUGAGCUUUCGUAACGUUCGGUUGUGUGACAGUUCAGUGUGGAAGUGAUAAUUCAAAAAAAACGCAGGCGGCAAAAACAAAAUAGGAACUAUAUAAUAGAGAAAAACAAGAAGAAGGACAAGGACCACAUAGGACCAAAAAAAAAAAAAUAGAUCUGAAGUUGACA